RNAcentral lists this ribosomal RNA (446 nucleotides) under uncultured bacterium. RNAcentral's name for it is "bacterial SSU rRNA". It matches the Rfam family "Bacterial small subunit ribosomal RNA", at positions 329 to 792 of the family's 1533-position model. The record is from RNAcentral.
CCCCAGACUCCUACGGGAGGCAGCAGUGAGGAAUAUUGGUCAAUGGGCGCGAGCCUGAACCAGCCAAGUCGCGUGAGGGAGGACGGCCCUACGGGUUGUAAAGCUCUGUCGCAGAGGACGAAAAUGACGGUACUCUGUAAGAAAGCUCCGGCUAACUACGUGCCAGCAGCCGCGGUAAUACGUAGGGAGCAAGCGUUGUCCGGAAUUACUGGGUGUAAAGGGAGCGUAGGCGGGAGGAUAAGUUGAAUGUGAAAUCUAUGGGCUCAACCUAUAGCUGCGUUAAAAACUGUUCUUCUUGAGUGAAGUAGAGGCAGGCGGAAUUCCUAGUGUAGCGGUGAAAUGCGUAGAUAUUAGGAGGAACACCAGUGGCGAAGGCGGCCUGCUGGGCUUUUACUGACGCUGAGGCUCGAAAGCGUGGGUAGCAAACAGGAUUAGAUACCCGAGUA